Molecule: ribosomal RNA, 288 nt
Filed under: Acinetobacter baumannii
Lineage: Bacteria; Pseudomonadati; Pseudomonadota; Gammaproteobacteria; Moraxellales; Moraxellaceae
Description: partial 23S ribosomal RNA
Rfam family: Bacterial large subunit ribosomal RNA
Source: RNAcentral
CGAAUGCUGACGUGAGUAACGACAAAACGGGUGAAAAACCCGUUCGCCGAAAGACCAAGGGUUCCAGUCCAACGUUAAUCGGGGCUGGGUGAGUCGACCCCUAAGGCGAGGCCGAAAGGCGUAGUCGAUGGGAAAAUGGUUAAUAUUCCAUUACUUCUGUGUAAUGCGAUGAGAGGACGGAGAAGGCUAAAUCAGCCUGGCGUUGGUUGUCCAGGUGAAAGGAUGUAGGCAUGUAUCUUAGGCAAAUCCGGGGUACUCUAUGCUGAGAUCUGAUAGCAAGCUGUACUU